UAGGGAAUCUUCCACAAUGGACGCAAGUCUGAUGGAGCAACGGCCGCGUGAGUGAAGAAGGUUUUCGGACCGUAAAGCUCUGUUGUUGGUGAAGAAGGAUAGAGGUAGUAACUGGCCUUUAUUUGACGGUAAUCAACCAGAAAGUCACGGCUAACUACGUGCCAGCAGCCGCGGUAAUCGUAGGUGGCAAGCGUUGUCCGGAUUUAUUGGGCGUAAAGCGAGCGCAGGCGGAAGAAUAAGUCUGAUGUGAAAGCCCUCGGCUUAACCGAGGAAUUGCAUCGGAAACUGUUUUUCUUGAGUGCAGAAGAGGAGAGUAGAACUCCAUGUGUAGCGGUGGAAUGCGUAGAUAUAUGGAAGAAUACCAGUGGCGAAGGCGGCUCUCUGGUCUGCAACUGACGCUGAGGCUCGAAAGCAUGGGUAGCGAACAGGAUUAGAUACCCUGGUAGUCCAUGCCGUAAACGAUGAGUGCUAAGUGUUGGGAGGCUUCCGCCUCUCAGUGCUGCAGCUAACGCAUUAAGCACUCCGCCUGGGGGAGUACGACCGCAAG
This 547-nucleotide ribosomal RNA is filed under the name uncultured bacterium. RNAcentral's name for it is "partial 16S ribosomal RNA". It matches the Rfam family "Bacterial small subunit ribosomal RNA", at positions 355 to 892 of the family's 1533-position model. The record is from RNAcentral.